Molecule: ribosomal RNA, 243 nt
Filed under: uncultured bacterium
Lineage: Bacteria
Description: partial 16S ribosomal RNA
Rfam family: Bacterial small subunit ribosomal RNA
Source: RNAcentral
UACGUAGGAUGCAAGCGUUUGUCCGGGAUUUACUGGCGUAAAGGGCGCGCAGGCGGCACUACAAGUACUGGGUGAAAUCUCCUUGCUCAACGGGGAGGGUGCUUAGUAGACUGUAGAGCUAGAGGUGGGUAGAGGGUGGUGGAAUUGCUGGUGUAGCGGUGAAAUGCGCAGAUAUCGGGAGGAACACCAAUUGCGAAGGCAGCUCGCUGGGACGUCACUGACGCUGAGACGCGAAAGCGUGGG